GAUGAACGCUGGCGGCGUGCCUAACACAUGCAAGUCGAGCGAACAGACGAGGAGUUUGCUCGUCUGACGUUAGCGGCGGACGGGUGAGUAACAUGUGUAUAACCUACCUAUCAGACUGGGAUAAUUUCGGGAAACCGGAUCUAAUACCGGAUAAUAUAUUGAACCGUAUUGUUCAAUAGUGAAAGUCGGCUUUGCUGUCUCUUAUAGCUGCUUCCGCGCCGCAUUAGCUAGUUGUUAGGGUAACGGCUUAUCAAGGCAACGAUGCGUAGCCGACGUGAGAGAGUGAUCGGCCACACUGGAGCUGGGACGCGGUCAAGGGUCCUACGGGAGGCAGCAGUAGGGAAUGGUAGGCAAUAGGGGGAAGCAUGGCGGAACAGCGCCGCGUGGGAGAUGAAAAUCUUCGGAUCGUAAAACUGUGUUAUGAGGGAAGAACAGAUGUGGAAGUAACUGUGCACGUCUUGACGGUACCGAAUCAGAAAGCCACGGCUAACUACGUG
Molecule: ribosomal RNA, 497 nt
Filed under: uncultured bacterium
Lineage: Bacteria
Description: partial 16S ribosomal RNA
Rfam family: Bacterial small subunit ribosomal RNA
Source: RNAcentral